Molecule: transfer RNA, 73 nt
Filed under: Thermoleophilum album
Lineage: Bacteria; Bacillati; Actinomycetota; Thermoleophilia; Thermoleophilales; Thermoleophilaceae
Rfam family: tRNA
About the family: Transfer RNA (tRNA) molecules are approximately 80 nucleotides in length. Their secondary structure includes four short double-helical elements and three loops (D, anti-codon, and T loops).
Source: Rfam by way of RNAcentral
GGGCCGGUAGCUCAGCGGUCAGAGCGGCGGGCUCAUAACCCGACGGUCGCAGGUUCGAAUCCUGCCCGGCCCA